GUACUCUCACACUUCCCGAUCUUUGGAUUGGGAGCGGUGGACUUGGGUUUGCUGCUUAACAGUAGCUUACCUCAAAUAUGUUAGUGCAACUCUUGGUUGGACAUAAUACGGCGUGAUAAGUGUUCUUCGCCGGUGCCUCGCAAGAGGGUGGCCGAUCGGGGGAUGGUGCUUCAAACCGUCCAUUUUUGGACAAUAUUUGACUA
Molecule: unclassified non-coding RNA, 203 nt
Filed under: uncultured Sebacina
Lineage: Eukaryota; Fungi; Basidiomycota; Agaricomycetes; Sebacinales; Sebacinaceae
Description: sequence contains ITS2
Source: RNAcentral